This 468-nucleotide ribosomal RNA is filed under the name uncultured bacterium. RNAcentral's name for it is "partial 16S ribosomal RNA". It matches the Rfam family "Bacterial small subunit ribosomal RNA", at positions 28 to 507 of the family's 1533-position model. The record is from RNAcentral.
GACGAACGCUGGCGGCGUGCUUAACACAUGCAAGUCGAACGGAAAGGCCCUGCUUUUGUGGGGUGCUCGAGUGGCGAACGGGUGAGUAACACGUGAGUAACCUGCCCUUGACUUUGGGAUAACUUCAGGAAACUGGGGCUAAUACCGGAUAGGAGCUCCUGCUGCAUGGUGGGGGUUGGAAAGUUUCGGCGGUUGGGGAUGGACUCGCGGCUUAUCAGCUUGUUGGUGGGGUAGUGGCUUACCAAGGCUUUGACGGGUAGCCGGCCUGAGAGGGUGACCGGCCACAUUGGGACUGAGAUACGGCGCAGACUCCUACGGGAGGCAGCAGUGGGGAGUAUGGCACAAUGGGCGGAAGCGUGAUGCAGAAACGCCGGGUGCGGGAUGACGGCCUUCGGGUUGUAAACCGCUUUCGCCUGAGACGAAGCGUGAGUGACGGUAAUGGGUAAAGAAGCACCGGCUAACUACGUG